This 382-nucleotide ribosomal RNA is filed under the name uncultured eukaryote. Its description in RNAcentral is "partial 18S ribosomal RNA". It matches the Rfam family "Eukaryotic small subunit ribosomal RNA", at positions 592 to 976 of the family's 1831-position model. The record is from RNAcentral.
CAAUAGCGUAUAUUAAAGUUGUUGCAGUUAAAAAGCUCGUAGUUGGACUUCUGCGGGUGGCGGCCGGUCGUGCUCGAAACGGGCGUGAACUUGGCGUGCUGCCCGCAUCUUUGGGGAGAUUGUGCGUGGCAUUAAGUUGUCGUGCAUGGGAUUCUCAUCAUUUACUGUGAAAAAAUUAGAGUGUUUAAAGCAGGCCUUUGCCUUGAAUACAUUAGCAUGGAAUAAUAAGAUAGGACCGUUGUCUAUUUUGUUGGUUUACAGAUGUCGGUAAUGAUUAAUAGGGAUAGUUGGGGGUAUUCGUAUUCAGUUGUCAGAGGUGAAAUUCUUGGAUUUUCGGAAGACGAACGACUGCGAAAGCAUUUACCAAGGAUGUUUUCAUUAA